RNAcentral lists this ribosomal RNA (362 nucleotides) under uncultured bacterium. Its description in RNAcentral is "partial 16S ribosomal RNA". It matches the Rfam family "Bacterial small subunit ribosomal RNA", at positions 338 to 698 of the family's 1533-position model. The record is from RNAcentral.
CCUACGGGAGGCAGCAGUGAGGAAUAUUGGUCAAUGGGCGCGAGCCUGAACCAGCCAAGCCGCGUGAGGGAAGACUGCCCUAUGUGUUGUAAACCUCUUUUAUUCGGGACGAAUCAGCCUUACUAGUAGGGUGAUGCCUGUACCUAAUGAAUAAGCAUCGGCUAACUCCGUGCCAGCAGCCGCGGUAAUACGGAGGAUGCGAGCGUUAUCCGGAUUUCUUGGGUUUAAAGGGUGCGUAGGCGGCCUGUUAAGUUAGUGGUAAAAUGUCGGGGCUAAACCCCGGAUUGCCAGUAAAACUGGCGGGCUGGAGUACAGGCGAGGUAGGCGGAAUGAGCGAAGUAGCGGUGAAAUGCUUAGAUAUG